CUAACAAGGAUUCCCUCAGUAACCGGCGAGUGAAGCGGGAAGAGCUCAAAUUUGAAAUCUCCGAUGCUUGCAUCGGCGAGUUGUAGUUGCGAGAAGCACUUUCUAGGUGGAUCGGUGGUGCCUAAGUUGCUUGGAACGGCACGUCGCAGAGGGUGACAACCCCGUCUGUGGCACCGCCGGCCGCUGACGAUCUGCUUUCGAAGAGUCGGGUUGUUUGGGAAUGCAGCCCAAAACGGGUGGUAAACUCCAUCUAAAGCUAAAUACUUGGCGUGAGACCGAUAGCGAAGGAAACGAAUGGACUCAGCAAUGCGCCGUUUGAGAUUCAGCCGGUGGGUGGCGUCGGCGUCGGGUUUGCGGAUCUGAAUGGACCGCGGUCCGGCGCUCGUCUCUCCCCGCCGUCGCACUUCUCUUGGGCGCGCGUCAACGUCGGUUGGGACUGGGUCUGAAAGGUGCCGGGAAGGUAGGUGUGGGCCUCCGGGUCCGCUCUGUUACAGCCCGGUUCUCUCAUGGCUCGGGCCCGACCGAGGAGUUUGCAGGGCAUGCCUCUUGUGGCUAGGGUCCCCUCCUUCCGGCCGGCUGUCGAAUGCGGUGGACUGCUUCGAGUGCUCGGCGAACGCUGCCGGUCGUUGGGGUGGUGAUCU
RNAcentral lists this ribosomal RNA (641 nucleotides) under Echinophyllia aspera. RNAcentral's name for it is "eukaryotic LSU rRNA". It matches the Rfam family "Eukaryotic large subunit ribosomal RNA", at positions 65 to 523 of the family's 3401-position model. Lineage: Eukaryota; Metazoa; Cnidaria; Anthozoa; Scleractinia; Lobophylliidae. The record is from RNAcentral.